UACGGGGGGGGCAAGCGUUGUUCGGAAUUACUGGGCGUAAAGGGCCAGUAGGCGGCCAACUAAGUCGGAUGUGAAAUCCCCAGGCUCAACCUGGGAACUGCAUCCGAUACUGGAUGGCUUGAAUUCGGGAGAGGGAUGCAGAAUUCCGGGUGUAGCGGUGAAAUGCGUAGAUAUCAAGAGGAACACCUGAGGUGAAGACGGGUUGCUGGGCUGACACUGACGCUGAGGCACGAAAGCUAGGGUAGCAAACGGG
This 253-nucleotide ribosomal RNA is filed under the name uncultured bacterium. RNAcentral's name for it is "partial 16S ribosomal RNA". It matches the Rfam family "Bacterial small subunit ribosomal RNA", at positions 524 to 776 of the family's 1533-position model. The record is from RNAcentral.